Molecule: microRNA precursor, 96 nt
Filed under: Marmota monax (woodchuck)
Lineage: Eukaryota; Metazoa; Chordata; Mammalia; Rodentia; Sciuridae
Source: RNAcentral
AGUAGAAUUGCUAGGUCAAAUGAUAACUCUAUUACGUUUUGAGGAACUGCCAAACUUUUCAAAAGUGUCUACACCAUUUUACAUUCUUACAGCAAC